This 395-nucleotide ribosomal RNA is filed under the name uncultured bacterium. Its description in RNAcentral is "bacterial SSU rRNA". It matches the Rfam family "Bacterial small subunit ribosomal RNA", at positions 505 to 898 of the family's 1533-position model. The record is from RNAcentral.
GUGCCAGCAGCCGCGGUAAUACGUAGGGGGCUAGCGUUGUCCGGAAUCAUUGGGCGUAAAGAGCGCGUAGGCGGCCCGGUAAGUCUGCUGUAAAAGUCAAAGGCUUAACCUUUGAAAGUCAGUGGAUACUGCCGGGCUAGAGUCCGGAAGAGGCGAGUGGAACUCCUGGUGUAGCGGUGGAAUGCGCAGAUAUCAGGAAGAACACCAACGGCGAAGGCAGCUCGCUAGGACGGAACUGACGCUGAGGCGCGAAAGCGUGGGGAGCGAACAGGAUUAGAUACCCUGGUAGUCCACGCCGUAAACGAUGGGCACUAGGUGUGGGAGGUGUCGACUCCUCCCGUGCCGGCGCUAACGCAUUAAGUGCCCCGCCUGGGGAGUACGGCCGCAAGGCUAAA